This 256-nucleotide ribosomal RNA is filed under the name uncultured bacterium. RNAcentral describes it as "partial 16S ribosomal RNA". It matches the Rfam family "Bacterial small subunit ribosomal RNA", at positions 524 to 776 of the family's 1533-position model. The record is from RNAcentral.
UACAGAGGUGGCAAGCGUUGUUCGGAGUUACUGGGCGUAAAGGGUGUGUAGGCGGUUGUUUUAAGUUUGGUGUGAAAUCUCCCGGCUCAACUGGGAGGGUGCGCCGAAUACUGAAUGACUUCGAGUGCGGGAGAGGAGAGUGGAAUUCCUGGUGUAGCGGUGAAAUGCGUAGAUAUCAGGAGGAACACCGGUGGUGUAGACGGCUCUCUGGACCGUAACUGACGCUGAGACACGAAAAGCGUGGGUAGCAAACAGG